Pyrenophora tritici-repentis Pt-1C-BFP is the source of this 74-nucleotide transfer RNA. It matches the Rfam family "tRNA". Rfam says of the family: Transfer RNA (tRNA) molecules are approximately 80 nucleotides in length. Their secondary structure includes four short double-helical elements and three loops (D, anti-codon, and T loops). The record is from Rfam. NCBI's taxonomy places the organism in Eukaryota, Fungi, Ascomycota, Dothideomycetes, Pleosporales, Pleosporaceae.
ACCCGGUUGGCACAAUUGGCUAGCGCGUGAGACUUUUAAUCUCAAGGUUGAGGGUUCGAGCCCCUCAUCGGGUG